RNAcentral lists this ribosomal RNA (402 nucleotides) under uncultured Sphingomonadales bacterium. RNAcentral describes it as "bacterial SSU rRNA". It matches the Rfam family "Bacterial small subunit ribosomal RNA", at positions 355 to 774 of the family's 1533-position model. Lineage: Bacteria; Pseudomonadati; Pseudomonadota; Alphaproteobacteria; Sphingomonadales. The record is from RNAcentral.
UGGGGAAUAUUGGACAAUGGGCGAAAGCCUGAUCCAGCAAUGCCGCGUGAGUGAUGAAGGCCUUAGGGUUGUAAAGCUCUUUUACCAGGGAUGAUAAUGACAGUACCUGGAGAAUAAGCUCCGGCUAACUCCGUGCCAGCAGCCGCGGUAAUACGGAGGGAGCUAGCGUUGUUCGGAAUUACUGGGCGUAAAGAGUACGUAGGCGGUUAUUCAAGUCAGAGGUGAAAGCCCGGGGCUCAACCCCGGAACGGCCUUUGAAACUAGAUAGCUAGAGUCUUGGAGAGGUUAGUGGAAUUCCGAGUGUAGAGGUGAAAUUCGUAGAUAUUCGGAAGAACACCAGUGGCGAAGGCGACUAACUGGACAAGUACUGACGCUGAGGUACGAAAGCGUGGGGAGCAAACA